This 484-nucleotide ribosomal RNA is filed under the name uncultured bacterium. Its description in RNAcentral is "partial 16S ribosomal RNA". It matches the Rfam family "Bacterial small subunit ribosomal RNA", at positions 28 to 523 of the family's 1533-position model. The record is from RNAcentral.
GACGAACGCUGGCGGCGUGCUUAACACAUGCAAGUCGAACGAUGAAGCUGGAGCUUGCUCUGGCGGAUUAGUGGCGAACGGGUGAGUAACACGUGAGCAAUCUGCCCUUGACUCUGGGAUAACUGCGGGAAACUGUAGCUAAUACCGGAUACUUUCACCGGGGGGCAUCCUCUGGUGAUGAAAGAAUUUCGGUCAAGGAUGAUCUCGCGGCCUAUCAGCUUGUUGGUGAGGUAACGGCUCACCAAGGCGACGACGGGUAACCGGCCUGAGAGGGUGACCGGUCACACUGGGACUGAGACACGGCCCAGACUCCUACGGGAGGCAGCAGUGGGGAAUAUUGCACGAUGGGCGCAAGCCUGAUGCAGCAACGCCGCGUGAGGGAUGAAGGCCUUCGGGUUGUAAACCUCUUUUAGCAGGGAAGAAGCGAAAGUGACGGUACCUGCAGAAAAAGCACCGGCUAACUACGUGCCAGCCGCCGCCGUAA